GGGAACAGGAAUGUACCUACAGUAACACUUGAACAGGUACAGACAAGCAGCGCCAUUAUUAUUCUGUCAAUAUCAGACGAACAGAAGGGUGUUGCUGCUGAUGUGGUUACAGAGUGAUGGACCUGUCAAAGCGAGUGUCAUUGUGGUCAGUGGAAGAAGUGUUGGAGUGGGUGCAGGAUCAGUACCCAGCCUACAUGGGAACACUCCAGAAAGCCAUAAUUAAGCACGCUAUAUCAGGCCGUGCACUGCUGAGAUUAAAGGAUCACCACUUGGAGCUUCUCGGGGUGGACGCUGAAGAGCAGCAGCAGGAAAUCUUGCAGGACCUCCUCCUCCUCAAAGUUCAAGAAGAAAUCAAUGAGCUCAAUGAUAUCUGCUCUGAGUGUUUUUCUUCAUAACAGGAAAUGAACGUGUUCAAGAGAAAUGCAGCUUCCCUUUUUAUAUUUUCCAUCCAUUCAUCCAUCCAUGUGAAGGAGACAGUGGGAGUGAUGGAAAUAACAGGUGAAAGAGAAAGGAGAAUCAAUGAAGAAUGAAGAGAGAAGGAAACCCAUUUCCUGUGUGAAACCUGACCUGUGCAGAUGGAUGAGAUUAGUUUUUGUCUGAGCGUCGUUUUCUGAUGCCUGCUGUCCAUUAGUCUCUGUCCUCUGUCUUUGUCUGUAGUGGGUUUGCAUCCCAUCAGUGCAUCAUGAAAUAUUUUAAGCGACGUUGAACCACUUUGGUCAAGACUGAAAUAUCACAGUAGAUACAGGAUGAAUUGAAAUGAAACUUUGUAAAGACAUUCAUGUUCCCCAGAGGAUGAAUCCUUAUGUCUUUGGUGAUCCUCUGACUUUUCCUCUAGCACCACCAUGAGGUUCAAAUUUGUGGAUGAGGUGAAAUUUCUCAAUAAUCCUUGGAUGGAUUGCCAUAAAAUGUGAUACAGACAUUCAUGUCCUUCUCGGAAUGAAUUGUAAUCUCUUAAUUUUCUCCCUGGCACUGUCAGCAAGUCAAAAAUGUUAUUAUUCCAAUACUUCGAUUUAUGAUAUCUGCAAAACUAAAGACAUCCUUAAGGGCUUUGCACACUGAGUCUGUUUUUUUUUGCGGAUGCUUUUUUUUAAAAAUCCGUCUUCCGGGGGAAAAAAAGCGUUACGCACAGAAACCUUGCACACUGCGUUGUAAUGCUAUAUUCGGUGUGAAAAUUCGCAAUAUGUGACAAAAUGUAAAAGACACGUUUCCUCCAUUGCAUCUCUAGUUACCCUUCUGGCCGUCACCCCUCUCUGUUUUGCAUUUGGCAAUGCGGGGCUGUCCUCCAAAUUCUGUGUGUGGACUACAUCCUCCUCCUCGUCAUCAUUAUGCACCUGAAUAUCACUAUCUGACCUGAUGAACGUGAGCCAUCUGAGUUAUGAAAUGAUUCUGUGAGCCCAUUCCUCUGUCUUGCCUUGUCUGUGUCCCGCCACCACAUUUUCUUGACUGAUUCUUGGUCAAACGUCUCGAAAGGCUUCUGACAGAUGUGAAAAAAGCAGAAAAUCGCACCUGUUCUGAAAUAUUUUAUGAGUUUUGACUCAGUGUGCAAACAGGAUUGACACAAUGUGAGGUAUUUUCUUUAGACAUGGGACAAUGUCGGAUGAAAAAAGACUCAUUGUGCAAAGACCUGUACACUUUUGUGCUAUUUAGCACUAUGCCAAUUAGCUUACGUUCGCAUGCUAACACACUAAAAUAAGAUGAACAUAGUAAACAUUAUACUUGCUAAUAUAUUAUAACCAUUUAACAUUUUCAGUAGGUGUGUUUUCAUCCACCUGUUUUAUGCACAUUUUCAGUUUGCGCAUAAAAAACGUCAAUUUCUUUUUAAAAAAAUCUCGAAAUUUUGCGAAAAAGCUUUUACACUUGGGGAAGGUUGAGUGUAUCUAUAAAACUUAAAUGUGAGUAAGUACAAUGGAAACAGAUUCAACGAUUAAAUGAUGAUGUACAGUUAUGAUGCACCGUCAUUGCGUAGGCCAUUGCAAGCGCUCUUCGUCACCUCUAGAUGGCUUUUUAACACACUUUUGUAUACACACAGAGCAGUUAUAUUAUUUGUUACUCAUUUCCAUUGUUCAGGGUUCUCCGUUUUUUAUGCAUCCAUUGUUUUCCUUUGUUUGAGGUUUGACUGGCGCUCUUAUAAUUACAACAUCCCGUUGGGUCCUCUGCUGCAGUGGCAUCUAACUGGAGAAAUAGCGCUGCCGCCACCUACUGCUAAAAUUGAUCAUCAAACUUAAAGAAAUAAGUAAAUGUAGAGUAUGGUCUCACAUGUGUCUAUCACAGGGUGCUCUGCUGCGUGAUAAACAGUGUCAGACAAGCCUAACUCUCAGGAAGAUGCAGAAAAAGAGAAAUUCCAUAAGUCAGCUUUGGUGAGUUUCUAUUUAAACAUUUCUAUCUGUCGAAUCCAAACAGUAAAACUUCCUCCUGCUGUUUGCUUUUCUCUCUCACACAUGCUGACUGAAAUUCAUUUACAAAACCAGCUGCUGGUUUAAAUCUCCUGUUUUGAUUUGAAAUGUCUGUCCUUGUAUUUUUGACUGAUAAAACCACAAACAAUGUUUCUCUCAAGUGAAUACUGAACAGAGGUACAGAAAACCAUCUCGACUUCUCUAGAUUUGAUGCUGUUUUGUUUUUGAUACAUACUGGUCAGUGUGAUCAAGGUGGCUGCAGCUGAUAUCUACUGAGAUUAAUAACUUGUGGUCCUAAAACUUUUAGACGCCUUUUUUUUAUAUAAUGCCCUUUUUCCUUUAUUUAUGAUGCUGGCCUCUUUUUAAUGUGUAUUAUAGGCAUCAAUACCCCUCCACAUUUGUAUUACAUUUAGUAAAAGGUCAUGUCUAUUUUUCACAGCAAUGCUACAGUAUGGUUGGUCGAAUAAA
Epinephelus lanceolatus (giant grouper) is the source of this 2861-nucleotide non-coding RNA. The record is from RefSeq and is a predicted model, not a curated record. NCBI's taxonomy places the organism in Eukaryota, Metazoa, Chordata, Actinopteri, Perciformes, Serranidae.